This 451-nucleotide ribosomal RNA is filed under the name uncultured bacterium. Its description in RNAcentral is "bacterial SSU rRNA". It matches the Rfam family "Bacterial small subunit ribosomal RNA", at positions 30 to 525 of the family's 1533-position model. The record is from RNAcentral.
AUUGAACGCUGGCGGCAUGGUUAAAACAUGCAAGUCGAACGAUCCCUUCGGGGAGAGUGGCGAAAGGGCGAGUAAUGCGAUCGUACGUACCCCAAGGUGGGGGAUAGCCUCUGGAAACGGAGGGUAAUACCCCAUGUGCUCUACGGAGGAAAGGUUUACCGCCUUGGGAGCAGCGAUUCUCCUAUCAGGUAGUUGGUGAGGUAAUGGCUCACCAAGCCGAAGACGGGUAGCGGGUGUGAGAGCAUGACCCGCCGCAUCGGGACUGAGACACUGCCCGGACUCCUACGGGAGGCUGCAGCGACGAAUCUUCCGCAAUGGGCGCAAGCCUGACGGAGCAAUGCCGCGUGUGGGACGAAGCGUCUUCGACGUGUAAACCACUGUCAGAAUCUAGGAACACUGACCAGAUUCAAAGGAAGGGCCGGCUAACCUCGUGCCAGCAGCCGCGGUAAUG